UAAUACGGGGGGAGCAAGCGUUGUUCGGAUUUACUGGGCGUAAAGGGCGCGUAGGCGGUCGUGACAAGUCACUUGUGAAAUCUCCGGGCUUAACUCGGAACGGUCAAGUGAUACUGUCGGACUAGAGUACAGAAGGGGCAACUGGAAUUCUCGGUGUAGCGGUGAAAUGCGUAGAUAUCGAGAGGAACACCUGCGGCGAAGGCGGGUUGCUGGGCUGAUACUGACGCUGAGGCGCGAAAGCCAGGGGAGCGAACGGGAUUAGAUACCCCGGUAGUCCUGGCCUUAAACGAUGAAUGCUUGGUGUCUCGGGUUAUAAAGUCCCCGGGUGCCGUCGCUAACGCUUUAAGCAUUCCGCCUGGGGAGUACGGUCGCAAGACUG
This 379-nucleotide ribosomal RNA is filed under the name uncultured bacterium. RNAcentral describes it as "bacterial SSU rRNA". It matches the Rfam family "Bacterial small subunit ribosomal RNA", at positions 521 to 896 of the family's 1533-position model. The record is from RNAcentral.